UACGUAGGGGGCAAGCGUUGUCCGGAUUUAUUGGGCGUAAAGAGCGUGUAGGCGGCCAGACAGGUCAGCUGUGAAAACUCGAGGCUCAACCUCGAGACGUCGGUUGAAACCGUCUGGCUAGAGUCCGGAAGAGGAGAGUGGAAUUCCCGGUGUAGCGGUGAAAUGCGCAGAUAUCGGGAAGAACACCCGUGGCGAAGGCGGCUACCUGGACAGAAACUGACGCUGAGGCGCGAAAGCUAGGGGAGCGAACGGG
This 253-nucleotide ribosomal RNA is filed under the name uncultured bacterium. RNAcentral describes it as "partial 16S ribosomal RNA". It matches the Rfam family "Bacterial small subunit ribosomal RNA", at positions 524 to 776 of the family's 1533-position model. The record is from RNAcentral.